CCGUACCAAGGCGAUGAUGCAUAGCCGAGUUGAGAGACUGAUCGGCCACCAUUGGGACUGAGACACGGCCCAAACUCCUACGGGAGGCAGCAGUAGGGAAUCUUCCACAAUGGACGCAAGUCUGAUGGAGCAACGCCGCGUGAGUGAAGAAGGGUUUCGGCUCGUAAAGCUCUGUUGUUGGUGAAGAAGGACAGGGGUAGUAACUGACCUUUGUUUGACGGUAAUCAAUUAGAAAGCCACGGCUAACUACGUGCCAGCAGCUGCGGUAAAAU
This 272-nucleotide ribosomal RNA is filed under the name uncultured Lactobacillus sp. RNAcentral describes it as "partial 16S ribosomal RNA". It matches the Rfam family "Bacterial small subunit ribosomal RNA", at positions 263 to 526 of the family's 1533-position model. Lineage: Bacteria; Bacillati; Bacillota; Bacilli; Lactobacillales; Lactobacillaceae. The record is from RNAcentral.